Molecule: ribosomal RNA, 468 nt
Filed under: uncultured bacterium
Lineage: Bacteria
Description: partial 16S ribosomal RNA
Rfam family: Bacterial small subunit ribosomal RNA
Source: RNAcentral
GACGAACGCUGGCGGCGUGCUUAACACAUGCAAGUCGAACGGAAAGACCCUGCUUUUGUGGGGUGCUCGAGUGGCGAACGGGUGAGUAACACGUGAGUAACCUGCCCUUGACUUUGGGAUAACUUCAGGAAACUGGGGCUAAUACCGGAUAGGAGCUCCUGCUGCAUGGUGGGGGUUGGAAAGUUUCGGCGGUUGGGGAUGGACUCGCGGCUUAUCAGCUUGUUGGUGGGGUAGUGGCUUACCAAGGCUCUGACGGGUAGCCGGCCUGAGAGGGUGACCGGCCACAUUGGGACUGAGAUACGGCCCAGACUCCUACGGGAGGCAGCAGUGGGGAAUAUUGCACAAUGGGCGGAAGCCUGAUGCAGCAACGCCGCGUGCGGGAUGACGGCCUUCGGGUUGUAAACCGCUUUCGCCUGUGACGAAGCGUGAGUGACGGUAAUGGGUAAAGAAGCACCGGCUAACUACGUG